AGUUCGGAUUGCAGGCUGCAACUCGCCUGCAUGAAGCUGGAAUUGCUAGUAAUCGCGGAUCAGCAAGCCGCGGUGAAUACGUUCCCGGGGCCUUGUACACACCGCCCGUCACACCAUGAGAGUCGGGAACACCCGAAGUCCGUAGUCUAACCGCAAGGGGGGCGCGGCCGAAGGUGGGGUCCGGGUAAUUGGGGGUGAAGUCGUAACAAGGUAAC
This 215-nucleotide ribosomal RNA is filed under the name uncultured bacterium. Its description in RNAcentral is "partial 16S ribosomal RNA". It matches the Rfam family "Bacterial small subunit ribosomal RNA", at positions 1290 to 1500 of the family's 1533-position model. The record is from RNAcentral.